GGACUGAUUAUUUUGUGACUGAGUGGCGGACGGGUGAGUAACGCGUGGAUAACCUGCCUCACACUGGGGGAUAACAGUUAGAAAUGACUGCUAAUACCGCAUAAGCGCACAGUACCGCAUGGUACGGUGUGAAAAACUCCGGUGGUGUGAGAUGGAUCCGCGUCUGAUUAGCCAGUUGGCGGGGUAACGGCCCACCAAAGCGACGAUCAGUAGCCGACCUGAGAGGGUGACCGGCCACAUUGGGACUGAGACACGGCCCAAACUCCUACGGGAGGCAGCAGUGGGGAAUAUUGCACAAUGGGCGAAAGCCUGAUGCAGCGACGCCGCGUGAGUGAAGAAGUAUUUCGGUAUGUAAAGCUCUAUCAGCAGGGAAGAAAAUGACGGUACCUGACUAAGAAGCCCCGGCUAACUACGUGCCAGCAGCCGCGGUAAUACGUAGGGGGCAAGCGUUAUCCGGAUUUACUGGGUGUAAAGGGAGCGUAGACGGCGAAGCAAGUCUGAAGUGAAAACCCAGGGCUCAACCCUGGGACUGCUUUGGAAACUGUUUUGCUAGAGUGUCGGAGAGGUAAGUGGAAUUCCUAGUGUAGCGGUGAAAUGCGUAGAUAUUAGGAGGAACACCAGUGGCGAAGGCGGCUUACUGGACG
This 644-nucleotide ribosomal RNA is filed under the name uncultured Lachnospiraceae bacterium. Its description in RNAcentral is "bacterial SSU rRNA". It matches the Rfam family "Bacterial small subunit ribosomal RNA", at positions 70 to 735 of the family's 1533-position model. Lineage: Bacteria; Bacillati; Bacillota; Clostridia; Lachnospirales; Lachnospiraceae. The record is from RNAcentral.